Molecule: ribosomal RNA, 803 nt
Filed under: uncultured Pelagibacteraceae bacterium
Lineage: Bacteria; Pseudomonadati; Pseudomonadota; Alphaproteobacteria; Candidatus Pelagibacterales; Candidatus Pelagibacteraceae
Description: bacterial SSU rRNA
Rfam family: Bacterial small subunit ribosomal RNA
Source: RNAcentral
ACGCUGGCGGCACGCCUAACACAUGCAAGUCGAACGAAGUAGCAAUACUUAGUGGCAGACGGGUGAGUAACAUGUAGGUAUCUACCCUUUGGCCUGGAAUAACACGAGGAAACUUGUGCUAAUACCGGAUAAGUCUUUACGGAGAAAGCUUUAUGCACCAUUGGAUGAGCCUGCACUUGAUUAGUUUGUUGGUGGGGUAAUGGCCUACCAAGACUGUGAUCAAUAGCUGAUUUGAGAGGAUGAUCAGCCACAUUGGGACUGAGACACGGCCCAAACUCCUACGGGAGGCAGCAGUGGGGAAUCUUGCACAAUGGAGGAAACUCUGAUGCAGCGAUGCCGCGUGAGUGAAGAAGGCCCUUGGGUUGUAAAGCUCUUUCGUCGGGGAAGAAAAUGACUGUACCCGAAUAAGAAGGUCCGGCUAACUUCGUGCCAGCAGCCGCGGUAAUACGAAGGGACCUAGCGUAGUUCGGAAUUACUGGGCUUAAAGAGUUCGUAGGUGGUUGAAAAAGUUGGUGGUGAAAUCCCAGAGCUUAACUCUGGAACUGCCAUCAAAACUUUUCAGCUAGAGUAUGAUAGAGGAAAGCAGAAUUUCUAGUGUAGAGGUGAAAUUCGUAGAUAUUAGAAAGAAUACCAAUUGCGAAGGCAGCUUUCUGGAUCAUUACUGACACUGAGGAACGAAAGCAUGGGUAGCGAAGAGGAUUAGAUACCCUCGUAGUCCAUGCCGUAAACGAUGUGUGUUAGACGUUGGAAAUUUAUUUUCAGUGUCGCAGCAAAAGCGAUAAACACACCGCCUGGGGAGUACG